CUGGUGCAAUAAACAAGUGAGAGGUUAUUGUUCACGGACAAUACCGAGUACAUCGCACCAAAGGAACCUUAUUCCUACCUUUUGAAACAUAUUGGUGAAAACAUAAACAGCAAGUCCUUGCUAGUAGCAAUAUGCGAAUGUAAGGGCUUGCG
Non-coding RNA from Clostridiales bacterium GWD2_32_19, 152 nucleotides. Lineage: Bacteria; Bacillati; Bacillota; Clostridia; Eubacteriales. The record is from Rfam.